GUUGAAUUGAAAGAAACACAGUCUAGCCACCAAAAAAGUUGAGUACCAGUAGAAACCUCAUAUUUACCUGGAAGAUUACUUUUAGGAAGCUUGAAGAAUUCUCUCUUCCAACUUGGUUGGAUGGAUCUCACUAUGUUGCCAAGGCUGGCUCGAGAACUCCUGGGCUCAACCAAUCCUCCUGCCUCAGCCUCCCAAAUAGCUGGGACUACAGUUGUAUAGGUUUUGCUGACCUGAAUUCUUUCAUGUUCUUCUUCAUCCUACAUGUGUAACUAUUCCAUGUUAUCGGUCCCCACGAUGAAAGAUAAUGGAAAAACAAUGCCUGUCUUUGUCUGACUCAAAAAGCAUGCUGAAUGGACUUUUCAUCCAUGUGGCUGUGAUCAGUUCCUAAAGCAGAGGAAUCUGCAGCCUAAUGACACAUCAGGAAUUGAUGGAACCCCAGCAGACAGCUUCUAUGAGGUGUGUGGGUGGCGGAUGUGAAAUCAAUAAAAAAAAAAAAAAGAAUAAUUUUUUUUGUUGUUUUUGUUCACUGUCAUGUACAUUAAAGCAUGUAGGCCUCUUCCAGUGUAUAUGUGUAACUUUCACAGUAAAACCUGGAUGAAAAAUCAAUAGAAAUUUAGAAUCUUUCUUCAUAGGAACUGUAUGAUUACUUUGGCAGGAGGAAAAAUAAACAUGUGAAAACAACCUCAAGUCAAUAAAAUGUAUGAUCAGUAACAUAUGAUGAGUAUAUAAGUUAUAGCAUGGGUAAUGUUGAUUCUAGCUAAUUACCUUUGAAAUUGAGGCAGGGCAAAACCAAUUAUGAGCUAGAGUUCAUAAGUAACUCCAAGAACUCCAAGUUGAAAAUCUCAAGGAGAGAGGAUUGCACAUUGGUAGUCCUGUGGAAUAGAGAAGAGAGAAGUCAUUCCAGGCAGAGGAAUGACAGGCAGAGGGGAAUUUUGGGUAACUAGACUGGGCUCAUUCUAAGUGAGCAGCACAUGCAGUUACAAAGACAUCAACACUCUUGUGUCUCCUGCUGCAGAGGUCUUGAUGCUGUGAAUGAUGACUAAUAUAUCUUUGGGUCUCCGAAGUGACUGAUUUAAUUCUAUCAUUUUUGGAGGCAAGGCUUUAUUAUAAGCUACACGAAUAACUUCAAAAAAGGAUUAAAUUAACUGUGCAUUAUUUACUGCAAGUGCAUUUCUCUGGUAUAAAUCUGUCUUAUUUAUGCAUUAGGAUGAGAAAACAGUUUAUUGCCAUUAUAUAUUGUUUAGGGCUGAAGGUUACAAUCUGUCACAAUAUCUCUUCAAAUCCAAAUUCUGGCUAAUUAAUUCUUUUUAUGAUAAAUUUUAUUUU
This 1326-nucleotide long non-coding RNA is filed under the name Homo sapiens (human). Its description in RNAcentral is "HSALNT0091532". Lineage: Eukaryota; Metazoa; Chordata; Mammalia; Primates; Hominidae. The record is from RNAcentral.